UAACUGUGGAAGCAGCAACAUUUCUGGAUGUUUGAUUUGUUAACUAUUUUCUAAAUUAAGAUUUUUUUUAUCUUUCAGGAACCAUGGAUGCAUUGGGAACUUAAUACCAUCUUAUUCAUUAGUGUGACUGGAAGAAAAAGGAGCAGAAUCUAAAUGUCUCCAAGCACAUCACUGAAAGAUUACAAAGGCUGUGGUGAAUGAACACAUGGAACUGCCCUCAGGAACUGACAGGUGCAGUAACAAAAAGUGCACAAUAAAGGAGACAGACAGGCUGCUGAGGCUGUUAUUUUUUUUUUGAGACCACAGUCCCUAUUCCUUGAGUUAAUUCAUUAGGAGGAAAAGGCCAUUGUGACACUGUUCUGAAGCCGGAUCUCAUAAUCUGUGAGAAAAAAUUACUUACCUGAGCCUUCAUUACAGUAGUAAGUAUUUGGUUCAAUUUGCUUGAUUCUGAUGCACAUACAAUUUUGUAAUUUAUUUGAUUAUUUAUAGGGUUAUAUAAUGAA
RNAcentral lists this long non-coding RNA (503 nucleotides) under Ficedula albicollis (Collared flycatcher). RNAcentral's name for it is "lncRNA (ENSFALG00000017752.2)". The record is from RNAcentral. Lineage: Eukaryota; Metazoa; Chordata; Aves; Passeriformes; Muscicapidae.